This 2278-nucleotide long non-coding RNA is filed under the name Canis lupus familiaris (dog). Its description in RNAcentral is "lncRNA (ENSCAFG00845015127.1)". Lineage: Eukaryota; Metazoa; Chordata; Mammalia; Carnivora; Canidae. The record is from RNAcentral.
AUGAAAAACAGGAAAACAUGUAGUAGCCCAACCAAAGGCAGGCAGAACCAGAGUGAGCAUUCCAUAGUUGCAGUAGAUACUUCUUGGACCUCACUCAAGGGUAACAUAAAAUUAUAUCUAUUCAUUCUGCUCCCCAUUAGUCAGUUGACUCCCUAGAAGUAAGAAAUUCCAGAUAUUCCACAAGUAGAUUUUGAACAUCAUAAUUUUGCCAAUAAUUAGGCCCAUCAGUUCUGUGCAUUUUGUUCUUCAUUAGGAAUCAGGUACCCCCGGAGCAACAAAACCACAGAAAACAUACUAGCUGCUUUCAAUUCAUUAAACAAGAGAGCUAGGGUGCCUGGGUGGCUCAUUUGGUUAAGCGUCUGCCUUACACUCAGGUCUUGAUCUCAGGACCCAUGUCAAGCUUCCUUGCUCAAUGGGGAGCUUGCUUCUCCCUCUACCCCCUGCUCAUACACGCAAAUUCACACACUCUAUCUCUUGCUAUCUUUCUCUAAUAAAAUCUUUUUAAAAAAUUUUUAAAACAAGAGAUAUGAACUCAUACACAGUGUAUCUGUGAGAAAGCCAAAGUCAAAUACACAACCUGGAGGAAGCAGUCCCUUCCUUUCUUGGCAAUGCCCUAACAAAAGGUUAUGAUGUAUUGAAAAAGAGAAAUCUAAGAGCCUUUCGUAGACAAUGAAACUCAUUCCCCAGGCUCAACUUAGCCUGCAAUUCUAAUCAGUGGUAAUGUCAAAGUAGUAAGCUGAGUAACUGUUUAACUUAAAAUGUUAAUAUUAUUUAGGUACCUUUCAAAGAUAUAAUGAGAAUCAAUAUAAAAACUUGACAGAUUUACCAAAAAUAUUUCUUAUAUCUACUCUCAGGAGGAAGGGAAGAUAUUUAGAAAUAGAAACACCAUAUUAGCUUCACGUCAGAAUCUUUAAAAGUAUUACUGUCCCCUACAGCACAUUAUGACAUUCCUAGAAACUGUCCCAACCUCUACUAAAAUUUAAUUAUGAAAUGCAGAUUCUAAAGCCUAGAAAUAUACUAAUUUUUUCUAAAAUAGCACCCAUUUAUAUGUAUUAUAAAUGGCAAUAAAAUUUGUUUUUCUAAACAGAUAACAGAUUGCAUUAUCAUUCCUUUAUAAUUACUGACUUCACUUAUUAAAAAUGUGAGAGAGGGCAACUUUUAAGUUCCUGAAUCCUACUGAAUUUUAUAUCCCUUUCACCCACAAAAUAAGAAUUUUUAUCUACAUAAGAUAUAACACCAGAAUAAUAGGAAUAACGUGAGAACAAUCUACAGUGCUGACAUUAAAGGAUGAAGCCCUGCUAGGAUUAAUUUGUACAGCUCUAGUCAUAUUUCUCAGUAAGCCGUGCCCUAUACUUAUCUGGGGAAAAAAAAUACAGAGAUUUAAAAUCACAAUAUUAAAGAAAUAUUUAACUUUCUGUGUAUGACCAAAAUCAGUUUAAAUCAAAAUUUCAGUUAUCAAUUAGCAGCCAAAAUUUUAGAGAUGCUACCUUCUAAGACAAUAAUAGUUUGGAUAAGGUAUUUUUUUUAACUUGCAAUAAAUUAAUCACCAUCUUCUCUUAGUGUAAAAAAUUCAACUUAGGGCAGCCCGGGUGGCUCAGUUUGGUGCCUGCCUUCAGCCCAGGGCCUGAUCCUGGAGACCCAGGAUCGAGUCCCACGUCGGGCUCCCUGUGUGGAGCCUGCUUCUCCCUCUGCCUGUGUCUCUGCGCCUCUCUCUCUCUGUGUGUGUCUCUCAUGAAUAAAUAAAUAAAAUCUUAAAAAAAAAAUUCAACUUAAUCCUACUCAAAAUAAGGCACAAGAAAGCUACAUUCUGAAUUUGCAAAAGUAGAUUUUUUUUAGUCCUUAAAUGUAAGCAAUAACAAGUUUUUUACCAUAAAUAUGCAAAACUAUGUUGCAAAGUCAUAUUUUAUUAUGAAAGCCAGAUUUUAUGAAAAUACCUUUGAGUCUAUUUCCAAGUAAAACAUCUAAAAGUCAACUUAUUGGUACCGCCUUAAAAUAAGAUGCAUCUGAGAUUAUCUUCAAGGAAUAAGUGAUUGAGAUAAGAAACAUGUUGCCAGGCAGCCCCGGUGGCUUAGUGGUUUAGCGCCGCCUUCAGCCCAGGGCAUGAUCCUGGAGACCCAGGAUUGAGUCCCACGUCGGGUUCCCUGCAUGGAGCCUGCUUCUCCCUCUGCCUGUGUCUCUGCCUCUUUCUCUGUGUCUCUCAUGAAUAAAUACAAAUCUUUUAUAAAUAAAUGAAUAAAUAAAUAAAUAAAUAAAUGUAUGUAUGUAUGUUCAGAUAUGA